UGUCAUCUAAUGUGUGAGGUUUCGACAUAGAAUUAACACCUAUUUAUUUUUUUGCAAUUAUAAAAUAUAACUUAAACAAAGAAAAUAAAAAUAAUAUCAUCCAAGUUUAAAAAUAUUACAAUAUCAAAAAUAAAAUAAAAUUAAAGUUCAAAACUAAUCGAAAUCGGAUGUCGAUCGAUCGCCCUCUAUGACCUUGCCUUUACCACGAUCCACAGCAAUCUUAGUAGCCCUCCUACCCGAAGACUGGUUCAAGCUGGUUCGGCUCGAGCUAUGAAGUUUG
This 280-nucleotide long non-coding RNA is filed under the name Gossypium raimondii (Peruvian cotton). Its description in RNAcentral is "long non-coding RNA (GRAI_LNC007505)". The record is from RNAcentral. Lineage: Eukaryota; Viridiplantae; Streptophyta; Magnoliopsida; Malvales; Malvaceae.